ACCUCAUGAUUUGGGCAUCAGGAUAGCUUUCCAUUAAACCUCUCCCACGCUUUAAAUAAUGGUUCUGCAUUCAAUUGCCAAAAGUUUACAAUCUUAUCCUAUUUUUGAAGCC
RNAcentral lists this small nucleolar RNA (112 nucleotides) under Capsicum annuum. RNAcentral's name for it is "Plant small nucleolar RNA R71". It matches the Rfam family "Plant small nucleolar RNA R71". From Rfam's summary of the family: R71 is a member of the C/D box family of snoRNAs containing the C (UGAUGA) and D (CUGA) box motifs. Multiple nearly identical copies of this snoRNA have been identified in Arabidopsis, and it is thought to function as a 2'-O-ribose methylation guide for 18S ribosomal RNA. The record is from Rfam by way of RNAcentral. Lineage: Eukaryota; Viridiplantae; Streptophyta; Magnoliopsida; Solanales; Solanaceae.